CGGGGUGAGUAAUGUCUGGGAAACUGCCUGAUGGAGGGGGAUAACUGCUGGAACGGUAGCUAAUACCGCAUAACGUCGCAAGACCAAAGAGGGGGACCUUCGGGCCUCUUGCCAUCGGAUGUGCCCAGAUGGGAUUAGCUAGUAGGUGGGGUAACGGCUCACCUAGGCGACGAUCCCUAGCUGGUCUGAGAGGAUGACCAGCCACACUGGAACUGAGACACGGUCCAG
This 228-nucleotide ribosomal RNA is filed under the name uncultured bacterium. RNAcentral's name for it is "partial 16S ribosomal RNA". It matches the Rfam family "Bacterial small subunit ribosomal RNA", at positions 104 to 334 of the family's 1533-position model. The record is from RNAcentral.